This 422-nucleotide ribosomal RNA is filed under the name uncultured prokaryote. Its description in RNAcentral is "bacterial SSU rRNA". It matches the Rfam family "Bacterial small subunit ribosomal RNA", at positions 355 to 774 of the family's 1533-position model. The record is from RNAcentral.
UGAGGAAUAUUGGUCAAUGGGCGAGAGCCUGAACCAGCCAAGUCGCGUGAAGGAAGAAGGUUCUAUGGAUUGUAAACUUCUUUUGUAAGGGAAUAAAAAGAGUUACGUGUAACUUAUUGUAUGUACUUUACGAAUAAGGAUCGGCUAACUCCGUGCCAGCAGCCGCUGUAAUACGGAGGAUCCAAGCGUUAUCCGGAUUUAUUGGGUUUAAAGGGUGCGUAGGCGGGCCCUUAAGUCAGUGGUGAAAGUUUGCAGCUUAACUGUAAAAUUGCCAUUGAAACUGAGGGUCUUGAGUGUAAAUAAGGUAGGCGGAAUGUGUUGUGUAGCGGUGAAAUGCUUAGAUAUAACACAGAACACCAAUUGCGAAGGCAGCUUACUGGGAUACAACUGACGCUAAGAUACGAAAGCGUGGGGAGCAAACA